UGGACUUUCGCACGGGCUCAUCCCAUCCCAUUUCCCGUCCAUGGGUGACCACUGGGUGUAGGAGAUCAGCCCACGUGGGUAUGGGGAGGGGCUGUUGCUGCUGCUGCAGGUCCUGGAUUGCCCUCUUAUGCUGUCGGAUGCGCUCUGUCUCCUCCCGCUGUCGAAUUAAGUACGCCUUCAAGGAUAGAUACCUCUAUGAUCUUCAUUAUGUGAGUGUGCUUGAUUUGAUUUUUAAAAUUUGCUGCCAGCAUAAAUUCUCUAAAAUUAACUUAAAAUUGGUUGAUUGUCGGCAAAAUUGCUACUGA
RNAcentral lists this long non-coding RNA (305 nucleotides) under Apteryx owenii (little spotted kiwi). Its description in RNAcentral is "lncRNA (ENSAOWG00000004285.1)". Lineage: Eukaryota; Metazoa; Chordata; Aves; Apterygiformes; Apterygidae. The record is from RNAcentral.